GGCCAGGGAUCAAAUCAGAGCUGCAGCUGCCAGCCUAUGCCACAGCCAUAGCCAUGUGGAAUCUGAGCCUCAUCUGGGACCUACACCACAGCUCAAGGCAACGCUCGAUCCUUAACCCACUGAGUGAGGCCAGGGAUUGAACUAGCAACCUCACGGAUACUAGUCAGGCUCAUUAUCACUGAGCCUCAAUGGGAACUCCCUACAAUCUGAUUCUUAGCCCAAGUGCACCACAGUGGGAACCCCUGUGUUCUCUUAUACUUAAAAAGACUGUGGUCUUCAGCUUUCUAGAAAAUGGAAUAGACAUAUACUUUCCUGUUCCUCCCACUAAGUACAGUGCCAAUCCUAGACAUCAUAAUUAACAAGUAGAAGAGGACACUUAAUGUUGGAGAGAAAAAGUUGGUUGGCUGGGAAACUCGGGACCUGAGGAGUGACAAAGUCAGGUGUACCCUGAGUUUUCUCUUUGUUUUGUAUCUCAAACAUGAGCUGAAGAAGUCAGCCAUCAAUGGGAAGAGACAAAAGAACAUCCUAAUGGAAGCUUGUUUUUUCCAGGCCAGGAAAAGAGCAAUCUAGUAAGUCAGAAAUCGCAUAUAAUAUCUUUGCUCUGGGCAAACACCACAGAAGGCACAGUGAUCCCAUCUCUACUUCUGUGAAGGCUGAGUGGAGCACCUACACUUCCACCCUCAUGAGAUUGUAAUGAGACACGGGGGUGGGAAGGAAGGCCAGGACAUGCACUCCACUGGUGGAAAAGCAAUCCCUGCCCCCCCCAGAGAUAAACACAAACAUGUACACACACAUACACAUAGACACACGGAUACGCACAGAUGCACACACACAGUUAUACACACACAUACAAACAAAGACACACACACACACAUAUGUGGAAUUUCAGUGCGGGCCACAUGGGAAGCCAGAAUUCUCACCCCUGCCCCGCUGUAUUGAGGAUCUCACAAGCCAGAUGCUAAGAGAAGCUGAGCAGGGACCUUGGUUUCUACAUCUUCAUGGCACUUAUGAGGUGGCACUGCUCCUUUUCACUGCCAGAACAGUGUUUCUGAGAAAGCCAGUUAAAACAUAAGAUUUAAUUAAGAUAGAGCUUCAUUACACAAUAAGUAAACAUCCAAGUUUAAAUUAAAAAUCACACUUCAUCCCUAGAACUCAGAAGAUCUUAAGCUAAAUGAAAACAAAAACAAAAACACAAUGAAUAGAUGCUCGUACCCAUUUGAGAUAUAUUAGAAUACUCUGAUGAAGAUUUAAAAGCAGCUGUGAAAAAAGGUUACAGUGAUCAAUUAUGAACACACUUAGAACAAAUGAAAAAUGCAAACCCUCAGCAAAGAAACAGUAUUGGCAAAAAAAUAAAAGACAUAAGAAGAGCCAAAGGAGGGAGCUCCUUUGUGGCUCAGCAGGCUAAGGAUCUGGUGUUGUCACUGCAAGAGCUCAGGUCACUGCUGUGGUACAGGUUCUAUCCCUGGCCCAGGAACUUCUAUAUGCCAAAAGUGCAGCACUACCACUCAAAGAAGAACCAAAUGAAAAUAUUAAAGCCAAAAAGCCUAAUAACAAAAGUAAAAUUUCAGUAAAAAGCCUUAACAUCAGAAAAGAAGAUUAAAAAAAAGGAAUCAGAAAAUUAAAAACAGUAGAAACAGUAAACAUUACUAUUAAACAGUAAAACUGAACCAUUUUGAAAAACAUAUGGAAAAUAAACAACAAAAACCAAAAAAUUACAGAGUUUCAGUUACCUAGAGUCUCUAAAAAAAUUAACCUUUGUGUCAUCAGAGUCCCAUAAGAAAAGGAGAAAGUAACUGGUGCUGAAAAAGAACUCAAAAAAAAAAAAAAAGGAAAAACACAUCCAAAAUUUGACAAGAGACAUAAAUCUACAGAUUUAAAAAUCUAAGUAGGUCAGAAAGAGAAAGACAAAUACCAUAUGAUAUCACUUAUACAUGGAAUCUAAUAUAGGGCACAAAGGAACCUUUCCACAGAAAAGAAAAUCAUGGACAUGGAGAACAGACUUGUGGUUGCCCAGGGGGAGGGGGAGGGAGUGGGAUGGACUGGGAGCUUGGGGUUAAUAGAUACAGAUUAUUGCCUUUGGAAUGGAUUAGCAAUGAGAUCCUGCUGUGUAGCACUGGGAACCAUAUCUAGUCACUUAUGAUGGCAUGAUAAUGUGAUAAAAAAGAAUGUAAACAUGUAUAUGUAAAUGGAUCACCAUGCUGUACAGUAGAAAAAAAAUAAUGCAUUGGGGAAAUUAAAAAAAAAAAAAAAAAGCUAAGUAAAUUCCAGAUAGCAUAGACCCAAAGAAAUUCAUACAAAGACAUAUCAUAAUUAAACUGAAUACUAAAAAUAGUCAAGAAACAAUUGAAUGAUUAGCAGUUUGCUCAUGAGAAACCACAGAGGCCAGAAUAUAAGUUGAAUGAUUUUUUAAAAAUUCCUUUUAUGGCUACACCAUGGAAUAUGGAAGUUCCAGAGAUAGGUACUGAAUCUGAGUCACAGCCGAAAUCUAUGCCACAGUUUUGGCAACACAGGAUCCUCAACCCACUGUGCCAGGCCAGGGGUCAAACUUGCUCCUCUGCAGCAACCCAAGCCACUGCAGUCAGAUUCUUAAUGCAGUGCACCACAGUGGGAACUCCAGUGGCAUGACAUUUUUCACAUACUUAAGAAAAAAAAUGUCAAUCACAAUUUCUUACUCAGCAAAAAACAUCCUUUAAGAAAGAAGAGAAAAUUAAAAAUGAAGAGGAGAUAGCGAAUAAAGAAAAACUAAGAAAAUUUGUCACCAGAAGAUCUAUCCUAAAAGAAAGGCUAAACCAUAUUACAUUAACAAAAAGAAAAUGAUAAUGGAGUCUUGUAACAUCAAGAAGGCAAAAAAGUACACAGUAAACCAAAAUAUGGGUCCAUUUGACUGGAUUUCCUUUUCUUCUUGAGUUUUCUAAAUUAUGAUUGAUAGUUGAAGCAAAUCUAACCGCAUCUAAAGUGGUUCUAAACAUAUGUAGUGAAAAUACUUAAAACAAUUAGAUUACAAAUGGGGGAGAGUAAAGAGGCUUAAAAGGACAUAAGCUUUCUUUACUUAAACUGAUAAAAUGAUGACACAGUAGAGUCUGAUGAAUUUUACACACACACACACACACACACACACACACACACACACACACACAGAGAAAAAGAAAAUGAAGAAGUUAAAAAGAGAGAUAACACACAGAAAAAAAAUAUUAAAUGUUAAGCUCUAAUAUUUUAACAUUUAAAUCAAAUAUAAAUGGUCUAAAAAACCAAUUAAGGAGUUCCCAUCGUAGCUCAAAGGCUAAUGAAUCUGACUAGGAACAUGAGGUUGAGGGUUUGAUCCCUGGCAUUGCUCAGUGGGUUAAGUAUCUGGUGUUGCCGUGAGCUGUGGUGUAGGCCUGCAGCUACAGCUUCAAUUAGACCCCUAGCCUGGGAACCAACAUAUGCUGUGGGUGUGGCCCUAAAAAGACAAAAAAAAAAAAAAAAAAAAAAAAAGAAAAAAGAGAAAACCAAUUAAAAGACAAAUUUUAAACCACAGCAAAACUGUAUUCUGUUUACCAAAAAUUACCGCAAUUGUAACAGUAUAGGCAGGUUGAAAGAAUGGAGAGGUAAAAAGAGAUUCAUGAAAACAUUAUUCAAAGGGAAACAGGGGUGACUAUAUUAAUAUCAGAUAAAGUAUACUUCAGAAAAAAUAAAACCAUUACAGCCAGAAAGAUAUAUUAUAUAAUUAUAAAAGGGUCCACCCUCCAAGAAGAAGGAGCAUCAUGAAAGUUGCGCCAAAGAGCAAUAUGCAAUGUACGUGAAGAAAGUACUAUCAGAAAUGAAAUGAGAAAUAGACAAAUUCAUAAUUAUAUUUGGGACUUUAAUUCCAUUCUCUAAAUAAUUGAUAGAACAACUAGACAGAAUAUCAACAAGGUUGUUACCAACCUACAACCAUAGUCACUUGUACAGUCAUUCCAAGGUCUACCAAGAUAGAACACAAACUGGGCAUAAAAUAGAACUCAACAAAUUCA
Molecule: long non-coding RNA, 3992 nt
Filed under: Sus scrofa (pig)
Lineage: Eukaryota; Metazoa; Chordata; Mammalia; Artiodactyla; Suidae
Description: lncRNA (ENSSSCG00040029171.1)
Source: RNAcentral